RNAcentral lists this non-coding RNA (45 nucleotides) under Schistosoma margrebowiei. Lineage: Eukaryota; Metazoa; Platyhelminthes; Trematoda; Strigeidida; Schistosomatidae. The record is from RNAcentral.
AUUCAGCUGACGAGUCCCGAAUAGGACGAACUGCGCGUGCUGGAU